This 440-nucleotide ribosomal RNA is filed under the name uncultured bacterium. Its description in RNAcentral is "partial 16S ribosomal RNA". It matches the Rfam family "Bacterial small subunit ribosomal RNA", at positions 338 to 795 of the family's 1533-position model. The record is from RNAcentral.
CCUACGUGAGGCAGCAGUGGGGAAUAUUGCACAAUGGGGGGAACCCUGAUGCAGCAACGCCGCGUGGGUGAAGAAGUACUUCGGUAUGUAAAGCCCUGUCAGCAGGGAAGAAAAUGACGGUACCUGACCAAGAAGCCCCGGCUAACUACGUGCCAGCAGCCGCGGUAAUACGUAGGGGGCAAGGUGUAUCCGGAUUUACUGGGUGUACAGGGAGCGUAGACUGCAAGGCAAUUCUGGGGUGAAAGCCCGUGGCGCAACCACGGGACUGCUUUGGAAACUGUGUUGCUGGAGUGCAGGAGGGGUAAGCGGAAUUCCUAGUGUAGCGGUGAAAUGCGUAGAUAUUAGGAGGAACACCGGUGGCGAAGGCGGCUUACUGGACUGUAACUGACGUUGAGGCUCGAAGGCGUGGGGAGCAAACAGGAUUAGAUACCCCUGUAGUC